UGUUUGUGUUGGUGAGAUCAGGACGAUGGUGAGACGGCCUUUGCGGGAGUGAGAUAAACUCACGCACACCGAGCCCGACCGGCCAAGAUCCUGCGCAAACUAAAAGCGAUGACGUCCGUGGUGUCCAACUGUGAUUUUACCAUCGACACUACCUGGUCAGCGGUGACGGUUUUGGCUAACCUAGAUAGAUGUAGCCACAUAUAGUUUGUUCUUGGUAGUUGUGACACGGUUGGGAUCGACGUGGUGGUGGUAUCGGUUCCUGUUAUUAUUGGUGGUAGUGAAGGGCGAUUUCUUUGGUGAGUAUUGUUGGUGUCUGUAUUUACAGGGUAUAGUGGAGCAUUGUCAACAACAAUGGCUUCCGUGGAUGCAACAACGUCACGGAACAACCUUCUACGCUUUCCACUCGGGAGGGCAUCUGGGGGCGGUACGUUGAAGUGUUCGCUAGGAGCUUGGUGAGCCGCGGCAAAACUGGCAAAGCCCUCACGGAUUUCGUGCAUCACAGGCGGGACUAAAGCAGCUUUCAUCACCUCGACAGCGACAGUAAGAGCCGCCUUGAAGCCGACCUGCAUACCCGUUGUUUUGACUGCUUUACUAUGUGGGUUGCCAAGAGCAUUCGAACACCCUACACAGCUCCAAUGAAGAGAUGCCGUCCGUUUUACCUCUUCGAUCACAGUGAAAGUUGCCGUUGCAGAUAGAUGCCACAGGACUCAGGAACAAACGCAGGAAAUACAGCAAAGUCAGGAAUGGUUGUGACGAACAAUUGAAGGCAGGACUACCAGAGACAGCUUAAGUCACAGCUAAGCGGCAGUUUGACGAAAAUAAGGCCGAAACGACAAAAUAAUUCACGGAUUUACGCGGAGCACAGUGAGAAACACACUCUGUCGUCAGCUGUCAACUGUCAAUGUAUCCCCAGCCUGCUCCCAACUGCUUGAUACUCUCAGCUUUGUGGGACUAUCUCAGGUCAAUAAUAAUGUAAACAAUCAUGGGUCUUUACUUGAUCUUAUAUUCGUGAGCCCGCGUAUAAUUGAGAAUGGUAUGAGAAUUUUCCGUUCCAUAGAUUGUUUAACUGAGGAAGACCGAUACCAUCCGAGCUUGCUUCCGUACCCAGACUGCUACGGAAGUCACUGGAUCGAACAGCCUGAGACAUCUCGAUUUUAGAAAAGCUGAUUUCCCAAAAAUGAUUGACGCUUUUUCCAAUACUGACUGGUCAUUCCUUAAUUCUGAUAGCAAUCCCACCUUAUCAAUCGAUUCGGCAAUCGACUCCUUUCAAAUCAAGGUUGGUCUAGUCCUUCACAAAUGCUGCCCUACUUUACAAGAGCUCGCAGCUUCCGGUCCCCCGUGGGGCAAUAUAGAAUUAAAAAGACUUAAAUCUGCGAAAAAUAGAGCUUUACAUUGUCUCGUAAAGUCUAAUCUUCACUCCGACAGACUAUUGUUUAACA
Long non-coding RNA from Anopheles arabiensis, 1439 nucleotides. RefSeq lists it as uncharacterized. Lineage: Eukaryota; Metazoa; Arthropoda; Insecta; Diptera; Culicidae. The transcript is spliced from 3 exons. The record is from RefSeq and is a predicted model, not a curated record.